This is a non-coding RNA of Caenorhabditis elegans, 21 nucleotides long. NCBI's taxonomy places the organism in Eukaryota, Metazoa, Nematoda, Chromadorea, Rhabditida, Rhabditidae. The record is from Ensembl.
UUGUUACUGCUAUGCUUUUCU